RNAcentral lists this ribosomal RNA (274 nucleotides) under uncultured bacterium. RNAcentral's name for it is "partial 16S ribosomal RNA". It matches the Rfam family "Bacterial small subunit ribosomal RNA", at positions 523 to 796 of the family's 1533-position model. The record is from RNAcentral.
AUACGGAGGGGGCUAGCGUUGUUCGGAAUUACUGGGCGUAAAGCGUACGUAGGCGGACUGAUCAGUUGGGGGUGAAAUCCCAGGGCUUAACCCUGGAACUGCCUUCAGUACUGUCAGUCUUGAGAUUGGAAGAGGUGAGUGGAAUUCCUAGUGUAGAGGUGAAAUUCAUAGAUAUUAGGAGGAACACCAGUGGCGAAGGCGGCUCACUGGUCCAAUACUGACGCUGAGGUACGAAAGCGUGGGGAGCAAACAGGAUUAGAUACCCCAGUAGUCC